GAAGUUUUUUUAGCUGAAAAAUUUUUAUUUAAUUUUGAAUUUAUAAGGGAACAUUUGAUUAGAUAGAUUGAUUCUCAGUAAAAAAUAUUAAAUAUUAGGUAAUUCUUGAUUUAGCAAAAAUUAUAAGUAUUAACAAAAUUUGUGCCAGCAGUUGCGGUUACACAAAUAAUACAAUAAAAAUAGAUUGGUUUUAAUAAAUUGUUAAUUAAAUAUAAAAUAUAGUUUUAUUAGGUGAAAUUUUAAAUUUAUGUUUAUAUUAAAUUUUUAAAAUGAGGUUAAGAAAUUCAAUUAAUAAACUAGGAUUAGAUACCCUAUUAUUUUGAAUGUAAAUUAUUGACCAAAGUAUUAAUAGUUAUGUUCUUGAAAUUUAAAGAAUAUGGCGGUGUCUUAGUCUGUUCAGAGGAACCUGUUCUAUAAAUGAUAGUCCACGAUUAAAUUAAUCUAAUUUAUAAAUUUGUAUAUCGUCGUAGUUUGAAUAUUUUAUAAGAAUUUAAUGUUCAAUAUACAAAAUUAUGUAUAAAGUCAGAUCAUGGUGUAGUUUAUAAUUAGGGAGAAAUGGGUUACAUUUAAUUUAUUAAUGGUUUGUUUUAUGAAAAAUAACAAUAAAUUGGAUUUGAAAGUAAAAUUAAAAAUAUUUUUUUUUUGAUUUUAGCUCUAAGAUAUGUACAUAUCGCCCGUCGCUUUCACUAUAAAGUGAAAUAAGUCGUAACAUAGUAGUUUUACUGGAAAGUGAAGCUAGAAAGAC
RNAcentral lists this non-coding RNA (745 nucleotides) under Coleoptera sp. 2 AH-2016. Lineage: Eukaryota; Metazoa; Arthropoda; Insecta; Coleoptera. The record is from RNAcentral.